RNAcentral lists this long non-coding RNA (174 nucleotides) under Capra hircus (goat). RNAcentral's name for it is "lncRNA (ENSCHIG00010025206.1)". The stretch from base 1 to 97 matches the Rfam family "SOX2 overlapping transcript exon 4", at positions 13 to 109 of the family's 109-position model. Rfam says of the family: SOX2 overlapping transcript (SOX2OT) is a long non-coding RNA, containing at least 5 exons. Lineage: Eukaryota; Metazoa; Chordata; Mammalia; Artiodactyla; Bovidae. The record is from RNAcentral.
CCUGUAGCCCCAAAUCGGAUAAUCUCUGCAGCUGAUAACAAGCAAAAGAGAAGCCAGGCAACAGCCAUAUUAAAGAAGAAAACAAUCAACUCUGAGAAAUCAGAAUUCAACUUGGAGAAAGUGGAAGAGUGGCUUCAACUGUGAACUCAAACUUUAAUAGCUAAAUCAGCCACC